AUUGAACGCUGGCGGCAUGCUUUACACAUGCAAGUCGAACGGUAACAGGCCUUCGGGUGCUGACGAGUGGCGAACGGGUGAGUAAUGCAUCGGAACGUACCCAGAGGUGGGGGAUAACGCAGCGAAAGCUGUGCUAAUACCGCAUGUGAUCUGAGGAUGAAAGCGGGGGACCGAGCAGCAAUGUUUGGCCUCGCGCCUUUGGAGCGGCCGAUGUCGGAUUAGCUAGUUGGUGGGGUAAAGGCCUACCAAGGCGACGAUCCGUAGCUGGUCUGAGAGGACGACAAGCCACACGGGAACUGAGCCACGGCCAAGACUCCUACGGGAGGCAGCAGUGGGGAAUUUUGGGCAAUGGGCGCAAGCCUGAUCCAGCAAUGCCGCGUGCGGGAAGAAGGCCUUCGGGUUGUAAACCGCUUUUGGCAGGAACGAAACGUUGUCCGCUAAUACCGGGCGCUAAUGACGGUACCUGCAGAAUAAGCACCGGCUAACUACGUG
RNAcentral lists this ribosomal RNA (492 nucleotides) under uncultured bacterium. RNAcentral describes it as "partial 16S ribosomal RNA". It matches the Rfam family "Bacterial small subunit ribosomal RNA", at positions 29 to 507 of the family's 1533-position model. The record is from RNAcentral.